UCAGCCUCCUGUAACCGCUGCCGGCCCUGCCGCUGGUGCCGCAGCUCCAGCACUCGCCUCCUCCCCACUUCCCACCCCAGUUCCCGUUCCAGGCACAAACCCACUGACCCUGCGGUCCCCUCUGCACCCCUAAAUCCCCUCCAGGAGCAAGCGCAGCACCUGCUGCAGGCAGCCACCAGCCAUGGUUUGGGGGCCUUCAGCUGCGGGCCCUGGAGCUGGGGGGCAGCGGGGAGGUGCUGGGUGUGUUCCUGGUGGGUGCAGGGCUCUGCCUUCCCCGUCCCCACGUGGGGGGCAUCACCCCGUGGCGCUGGGGUGUCCGUGUGCAGUGCUGGGGACGUGGCUGGGCCGCGUGCUGGCGCUCUGCCCCUCACAGGAGAGCGAUGCCCCCGGGAAACGCUCUGCCUUCCCCAGAAGAAUCCCUUCCCAGGCAGCCAGGCCUCUGGGGUCACUGGGGCCUGGGAUAAUGGGCUCAAAAACGAGAGCAUCGGGGCCCGGAGCCUGCGGCCUCGGCUGCCGUGCGUGCCACGGGGCCGCUGCCGUGGCGGUGCCGGGGUGAGCCCGGCUGUGUUGCAUGCGCUCGGUUCCUGUUUUUUUCCCACAGCCUGGAAAUCCCCUGACUUUCCGCCGGGGCAAGGAGCCCUGGGUCCAGCUGGCUCCCUGCCGGCCGCAGCUUCGGGAAGGGGCAUCUCAGGGUGGGGGGACAGAGCCACUGCCCUGUGCCAGGCCGUCAGCGCAGGCUGGAGCCGAGCAGGGAGCCUGGACGGGACCCGGCUGCCCCGUACCUGGCAGGAGCCACGCUGGGGGGCAGCAUCCUGCAAAGCCCCUCAGGUUUGGGGAGCUCCUUCACUGAGUUUCCACCUCUGGGGAGCCUCUUUCUGCGGCACCGGGAGCAGCAGGGAGCAGAGUGCAGCUGAUGCAACCCGGCCGGGAGCUGCAGCCGAAGCCAUGGGAGCUGCCUCCUGCCCGCGUUUCUUUGCUGUGGACAGUUUCCAAUCGAUCCUGCCCUCCUGCUGCUGGGAACCCGGCCCUCUCGGGAGGGGGAAGCACAGCACUUACCAGAAUUUGGGUGAUCGCUUUCCAGCACUUUGGACUCGGUGCCAAGAUCGAAGUAAAUCACACGCGGCCAGGCGCUAUCAUGAGAGAAGCCUGCAAGGGAGCAGGAGGAAAAAGAUGGUGCUGCCGGAGCCCUGGGGGGCAGCUGCGCCCCCUUCUCUGCCCUGCUGCCAGCUCCAGGCCCUGUGCUCUGGGAAGGCUCCCCAGCUCCGCAGGGUGCUGUGGGGAUGGAGCCGGGGAGAUGCCCCUGGCCCUGAGGAUCUGCAGAGCCUUUGGGGACCCCGGGCUGUGGAGUACGGGGCUGUUUCUGGGCCGCAGCACUGCUCCCCAGCAGGACCCCGAGCUGGGCUGCCAGCCAUGGAGCUGGGAGGGCGGCCACAAGGCUGCAGAUUUAUGCCUGAGGUGUUUAAAUACGCUGCUCUCUGCAACUUACAGGGUCCUUCCAAAAUGAUCUCCCUUCAGUGA
RNAcentral lists this long non-coding RNA (1518 nucleotides) under Anser cygnoides (Swan goose). RNAcentral's name for it is "lncRNA (ENSACDG00005012303.1)". The record is from RNAcentral. Lineage: Eukaryota; Metazoa; Chordata; Aves; Anseriformes; Anatidae.